GACGAACGCUGGCGGCGUGCUUAACACAUGCAAGUCGAACGGAAAGGCCCUGCUUUUGUGGGGUGCUCGAGUGGCGAACGGGUGAGUAACACGUGAGUAACCUGCCCUUGACUUUGGGAUAACUUCAGGAAACUGGGGCUAAUACCGGAUAGGAGCUCCUGCUGCAUGGUGGGGGUUGGAAAGUUUCGGCGGUUGGGGAUGGACUCGCGGCUUAUCAGCUUGUUGGUGGGGUAGUGGCUUACCAAGGCUUUGACGGGUAGCCGGCCUGAGAGGGUGACCGGCCACAUUGGGACUGAGAUGCGGCCCAGCCUCCUACGGGAGGCAGCAGUGGGGAAUAUUGCACAAUGGGCGGAAGCCUGAUGCAGCAACGCCGCGUGCGGGAUGACGGCCUUCGGGUUGUAAACCGCUUUCGCCUGUGACGAAGCGUGAGUGACGGUAAUGGGUAAAGAAGCACCGGCUAACUACGUG
RNAcentral lists this ribosomal RNA (468 nucleotides) under uncultured bacterium. Its description in RNAcentral is "partial 16S ribosomal RNA". It matches the Rfam family "Bacterial small subunit ribosomal RNA", at positions 28 to 507 of the family's 1533-position model. The record is from RNAcentral.